AGCGAACGCUGGCGGCAGGCCUAACACAUGCAAGUCGAACGAACCUUUCGGGGUUAGUGGCGGACGGGUGAGUAACACGUGGGAACGUGCCUUUAGGUUCGGAAUAACUCAGGGAAACUUGUGCUAAUACCGAAUGUGCUCUUCGGGGGAAAGAGUUAUCGCCUUUAGAGGGGCCGGCGUCUGAUUAGCUAGUUGGUUGAGGUAAUGGCUCACCAAGGCGACGAGCAGUAGCUGGUCUGAGAGGAUGAUCAGCCACAUUGGGACUGAGACACGGCCCAAACUGCUACGGGAGGGAGCAGUGGGGAAUCUUGCGCAAUGGGCGAAAGCCUGACGCAGCCAUGCCGCGUGAAUGAUGAAGGUCUUAGGAUUGUAAAAUUCUUUAACAGGGGACGAUAAUGACGGUACCCGGAGAAGAAGCACCGGCUAACUUCGUG
RNAcentral lists this ribosomal RNA (434 nucleotides) under uncultured bacterium. RNAcentral describes it as "partial 16S ribosomal RNA". It matches the Rfam family "Bacterial small subunit ribosomal RNA", at positions 29 to 507 of the family's 1533-position model. The record is from RNAcentral.